UGUCCAAUGCGGGAAUCGAACCCAGGUCCUAGUGGUCGAAAACCAAACGGUUUAACCAGCCAUGAGCCACCACAAUCGAAUGAC
This 84-nucleotide transfer RNA is filed under the name Cordylochernes scorpioides. Its description in RNAcentral is "tRNA-Glu". Lineage: Eukaryota; Metazoa; Arthropoda; Arachnida; Pseudoscorpiones; Chernetidae. The record is from RNAcentral.